GAAGUGCGAUAAGCAAUGCGAAUUGCAGAACCGUGAGUCAUCAGAUUUUUGAACGCAACUGGCGCCGGUUGGCUCUCCAACCGGCAUGCUUGUUUCAGUGUCUCUUUAUCUCAUCACCCAUAUCAUAAUGCGAGAGAUACCCUUCUCUUGCUAAGCUCGAAAGCACUCUGCGCUCUGCGAGCGGCUUCGACUUGUUCGAGGGUCACACUCAAUGCAGCCGUCACAUUGCUCACAAUGUGAACUCGUUGAGAGCUGAGGCAGUGUAGCGUAAGCUACCAGUGCUUAGUCACACAAACUUUACUUGCAUCUGAAAUCAAGCAGGAUCACCCGCUGAACUUAAGC
This 342-nucleotide unclassified non-coding RNA is filed under the name plant metagenome. RNAcentral's name for it is "partial contains 5.8S ribosomal RNA, internal transcribed spacer 2, and large subunit ribosomal RNA". The stretch from base 1 to 103 matches the Rfam family "5.8S ribosomal RNA", at positions 50 to 154 of the family's 154-position model. The record is from RNAcentral.